GUAUUGGGUUGGCCAAAAAGUUCGUUUAGGUUUUUCUAUAAGAUCCGCUGGAAAAACCUGAACAGACUUUUUGGCCAACCCAAUAUUA
Molecule: microRNA precursor, 88 nt
Filed under: Ovis aries (sheep)
Lineage: Eukaryota; Metazoa; Chordata; Mammalia; Artiodactyla; Bovidae
Description: miRNA (ENSOARG00000022334.1)
Source: RNAcentral